This 849-nucleotide ribosomal RNA is filed under the name uncultured bacterium. RNAcentral's name for it is "bacterial SSU rRNA". It matches the Rfam family "Bacterial small subunit ribosomal RNA", at positions 35 to 878 of the family's 1533-position model. The record is from RNAcentral.
GCUGGCGGCGUGCCUAACACAUGCAAGUCGAACGGUAACAGGUCUUCGGAUGCUGACGAGUGGCGCACGGGUGAGUAACGCGUGGAUAUCUGCCUAUUAGUGGGGGACAACUUUCGGAAACGGAAGCUAAUACCGCAUAAUCUCUACGGAGGAAAGCAGGGGACCUUUCGGGGCCUUGUGCUGAUAGAUGAGUCCGCGUCUGAUUAGCUAGUUGGUAGGGUAAAGGCCUACCAAGGCGAUGAUCAGUAUCUGGUUUGAGAGGAUGAUCAGACACACUGGAACUGAGACACGGUCCAGACUUCUACGGAAGGCAGCAGUGGGGAAUAUUGCACAAUGGGGGAAACCCUGAUGCAGCGACGCCGCGUGUGGGAAGAAGGCUUUAGGGUUGUAAACCACUUUCAAUUGGGAAGAAGAGAUGAGUACUAAUAUUAUUCUGAUUUGACGGUACCUUUAGAAGAAGCACCGGCUAAUUUCGUGCCAGCAGCCGCGGUAAUACGAAAGGUGCAAGCGUUGUUCGGAUUUACUGGGCGUAAAGCGAGUGUAGGUUGUUUAUUAAGUCGGAUGUGAAAUCCCAGGGCUCAACCCUGGAACUGCAUUCGAUACUGAUAGGCUAGAGUUCGGGAGGGGUAAGCGGAAUUCCGUGUGUAGCAGUGAAAUGCGUAGAUAUACGGAGGAACACCUGAGGCGAAGGCGGCUUACUGGACCGAUACUGACACUGAGACUCGAAAGCGUGGGUAGCAAACAGGAUUAGAUACCCUGGUAGUCCACGCCCUAAACGAUGUCAACUAGCCGUUGCGGGUAUCGACCCCUGCAGUGGCGAAGCUAACGCGAUAAGUUGACCGCCUGGGG